GCAAGUCGAGCGGAAGGCCCCUUCGGGGGUACUCGAGCGGCGAACGGGUGAGUAACACGUGAGCAACCUGCCCCUGACUCUGGGAUAAGCCCGGGAAACUGGGUCUAAUACCGGAUAUGACGCAUUCUCGCAUGGGAUGUGUGUGGAAAGUUUUUCGGUUGGGGAUGGGCUCGCGGCCUAUCAGCUUGUUGGUGGGGUGAUGGCCUACCAAGGCGACGACGGGUAACCGGCCUGAGAGGGCGACCGGUCACACUGGGACUGAGACACGGCCCAGACUCCUACGGGAGGCAGCAGUGGGGAAUAUUGCGCAAUGGGCGGAAGCCUGACGCAGCGACGCCGCGUGGGGGAUGACGGCCUUCGGGUUGUAAACCUCUUUCAGCAGGGACGAAGCUAACGUGACGGUACCUGCAGAAGAAGCGCCGGCUAACUACGUGCCAGCAGCCGCGGUAAUUCA
RNAcentral lists this ribosomal RNA (454 nucleotides) under Actinomadura sp. XM-17-8. RNAcentral's name for it is "bacterial SSU rRNA". It matches the Rfam family "Bacterial small subunit ribosomal RNA", at positions 57 to 527 of the family's 1533-position model. Lineage: Bacteria; Bacillati; Actinomycetota; Actinomycetes; Streptosporangiales; Thermomonosporaceae. The record is from RNAcentral.